RNAcentral lists this ribosomal RNA (232 nucleotides) under uncultured bacterium. RNAcentral's name for it is "partial 16S ribosomal RNA". It matches the Rfam family "Bacterial small subunit ribosomal RNA", at positions 99 to 334 of the family's 1533-position model. The record is from RNAcentral.
CGGACGGGUGAGUAAUGUCUGGGGAUCUGCCUGAUGGCGGGGGAUAACUACUGGAAACGGUAGCUAAUACCGCAUAAUGUCUACGGACCAAAGCGGGGGACCUCCGGGCCUCGCGCCAUCAGAUGAACCCAUAUGGGAUUAGCUUGUAGGUAAGGUAACGGCUUACCUAGGCGACGAUCCCUAGCUGGUCUGAGAGGAUGACCAGCCACACUGGAACUGAGACACGGUCCAG